Molecule: ribosomal RNA, 275 nt
Filed under: uncultured soil bacterium
Lineage: Bacteria
Description: partial 16S ribosomal RNA
Rfam family: Bacterial small subunit ribosomal RNA
Source: RNAcentral
AGAAUCAACGCUGGCGGCGUGCCUCAGACAUGCAAGUCGAACGCGAAAGUCCCCUUCGGGGGACAAGUAGAGUGGCGCACGGGUGAGUAACACAUAGGUAAUCUACCUUCGGAUGGGGAAUAACAACCGGAAACGGUUGCUAAUACCGCAUAAUGCAGCGGCACCUAAUGGUGACAGUUGUUAAAGCGGGGGAUCGUGAGACCUCGCGUCUGAAGAGGAGCCUGCGGCGGAUUAGCUAGUUGGUAGGUAACAGCCUACCAAGGCGACGAUCCGUA